ACAAUGUUACUAAGAAAAUUGUAGGGAAGAGAAAACAUAUUUGCUAUUUAUUAUGUGGAAACUGAUUAUCAUAAAGGUCUGCAUCCCCAUUGUCUUUACAGUGUGUAGGCUGAGGAGGACUGAGAAGAGAAAACACUGGUGUUACUGUUUCAGGUGUGGCAGAGGCCGAAGACAACUCAAAUAAUUGACUUGGCUAUGCGGGCUCUCUUUUGGUUCCAUAUGAAGUUCAUGGUGGUUUUUUCCAGUUCUGUGAAGAAAGUCAAUGGUAGCUUGAUGGGGAUAGCAUUGAUUCUGUAAAUUACUUUGGGCAGUAUAGCCAUUUUCACGAUAUUAAUUCUUCCUAACCAUGAACAUGGAAUGUUUCUCCAUCUGUUUAUGUCCUCUCUGAUUUCGUUGAGCAGUGGUUUGUAGUUCUCCUUGAAGAGGUCCCUUAUGUUCCUUGUGAGUUGUAUUCCAAGGUAUUUUAUUCUUUUUGUAGCAAUUGUGAAUGGCAGUUCGUUCUUGAUUUGGCUCUCUUUAAGUCUGUUAUUGGUAUAGACGAAUGCUUGUGAUUUUUGCACAUUGAUUUUAUAUCCUGAGACUUUGAUGAAGUUGCUUAUCAGUUUCAGGAGUUUUUGGGCUGAGGCAAUGGGGUCUUCUAGGUAUACUAUCAUGUCGUCUGCAAAUAGAGACAAUUUGGCUUCCACCUUUCCUAUUUGAAUACCCUUUAUUUCUUUUUCUUGCCUGAUUGCUCUGGCUAGAACUUCCAGUACUAUAUUGAAUAGGAGUGGUGAAAGAGGGCAUCCUUGUCUAGUGCCAGAUUUUAAAGGGAAUGCUUCCAGUUUUUGCCCAUUCAGUAUGAUAUUGGCUGUUGGUUUGUCAUAAAUAGCUUUUAUUACUUUGAAAUACGUUCCAUCGAUGCCGAGUUUAUUGAGGGUUUUUAGCAUAAAGGGCUGUUGAAUUUUGUCGAAUGCCUUCUCUGCGUCAAUUGAGAUAAUCAUGUGGUUUUCGUUUUUGGUUCUGUUUAUGUGGUGAAUUACGUUGAUAGACUUGCGUAUGUUGAACCAGCCUUGCAUCACU
RNAcentral lists this long non-coding RNA (1059 nucleotides) under Callithrix jacchus (white-tufted-ear marmoset). Its description in RNAcentral is "lncRNA (ENSCJAG00000074241.1)". Lineage: Eukaryota; Metazoa; Chordata; Mammalia; Primates; Cebidae. The record is from RNAcentral.